GUGAAUCAUCAAAUUUUUGAACGCAAAUUGCACUCUCCUCGGAGAGUAUGACUGUUUGAGGGUCAGCCUAUAAAAAAUCGACAUAGUUGCUGUUUCGCGGUGGCGUUGGUCGGAUAUUGGGUCAUAUUAAAUCCUUUUGAUUUAAGUGACUUGAAAUUUUUUUUUGGUUCCAUGAACGUUUCUAAGAUCUAUUUAUUUACACGUUUAAGGUAUCGAUUUUUACUAGAUGUGAGCAUCAUUUGGGAUCGCGUCCAUAAUCUUUUAUUAAAUGA
Molecule: unclassified non-coding RNA, 272 nt
Filed under: Glomus sp.
Lineage: Eukaryota; Fungi; Glomeromycota; Glomeromycetes; Glomerales; Glomeraceae
Description: partial contains 5.8S ribosomal RNA and internal transcribed spacer 2
Rfam family: 5.8S ribosomal RNA (bases 1-65)
Source: RNAcentral